GUAAAUCUUUUCAAAUCUUCAAAUAGACGAUGCAAAUUUGUACAAAUCACACCUAAUCUACUCUGACAGGCUCUCAGGAUGAAUGACAAUGAUGGGAUGAACAAUCCACGUUUAGUUUGUACAACUGAUCGUGGAAUUGGUACAUUCAUCUAAUGGUUGAUAUUAUGUGUCAUAAUCUCGAUGGUCCACACGCCGAAACUACGCGGAUGAGAAAAUCCAGAUAGUUUCAAUCGACGCAGCUGUCUUAUUGCAUUUUCAAAUUGUCUGGCAACCGCGGAAGCGUAUCCCCAAAUGGAAGAUGCCUUCGAUCCUGAUCUCAUUCACGCCAUUUUCAAGUUCGUCUGGAGCACAAAAACCCCAGAGCGCGAGAGGAACGAAGACGUUGAGAUCGUGGACAUCGAGGUAGGAGCUGGAACAUCAAAGAAAAAUCGGCCAGCUACAGCUAAUUUGAAUGCUUUGAAGCUGAGCUGUGAACUUCUACGAAUGUUUGUCACAGCGUGCUGCUAUAAUUGCUGAAGCUGAGGGUAAUGUGAAAAUAGAAGCAACUCAUUUAGAAAGGAUACUUCCACAGCUGCUUCUUGAUUUUUAAGGAAGUGGCUGGCAGGUGUACGGUGUACCAACGCACCAGGCAGCAGGUGAUUUGACGUCAGCAAGUUCUGUGGGUCCCAUCAUGAGUUUUCAGGUUCAAGAUCAAGUUAAGAGAGCAAGGGGAGUGGAUUUCUAGAAGUUUAUUUCUGUUUAGCUAGUUAUAAUUUUCUUUUGGUUUGAGUUUAUUGUAAAGGAAUUAUAAUGGAAGAGUGAUCAAGUUUUGAGAGAAUGGUGAUUGGA
Molecule: RNA transcript, 828 nt
Organism: Magnolia sinica
Lineage: Eukaryota; Viridiplantae; Streptophyta; Magnoliopsida; Magnoliales; Magnoliaceae
Gene name: protein MHF2 homolog
Exons: 8
Source: RefSeq, a predicted model, not a curated record